RNAcentral lists this ribosomal RNA (848 nucleotides) under Coltricia sp. ecm1026. RNAcentral's name for it is "eukaryotic LSU rRNA". It matches the Rfam family "Eukaryotic large subunit ribosomal RNA", at positions 57 to 889 of the family's 3401-position model. Lineage: Eukaryota; Fungi; Basidiomycota; Agaricomycetes; Hymenochaetales; Hymenochaetaceae. The record is from RNAcentral.
AAAAGAAACUAACAAGGAUUCCCCUAGUAACUGCGAGUGAAGCGGGAAGAGCUCAAAUUUAAAAUCUGGCAGUUCUGCUGUCCGAGUUGUAAUCUGUAGAAGCAUUUUCUGCAUUGGACUGUGUACAAGUCUCUUGGAAUAGAGCGUCAUAGAGGGUGAGAAUCCCGUCCAUGACACAGAAUACCAAUGCUAUGUGAUAUGCUCUCAAAGAGUCGAGUUGUUUGGGAAUGCAGCUCAAAAUGGGUGGUAAAUUCCAUCUAAAGCUAAAUACAGGCAAGAGACCGAUAGCGAACAAGUACCGUGAGGGAAAGAUGAAAAGCACUUUGGAAAGAGAGUUAAACAGUAUGUGAAAUUGUUGAAAGGGAAACGCUUGAAGUCAGUCACAUUCUGCAGAACUCAGCCUUGCCUAUUAGGCCUGGUGUAUUUUCUGCAGGAUGGGUCAACAUCAAUUUUGGUCAGUGGAUAAAGGAGGAGGGAAUGUGGCACCUGUGAAGGUGUGUUAUAGCCUUCUUUCAUAUACAUUGACUGGGAUUGAGGACUGCAGCAUGCCCUUGUGGCCAGGCCUUCAUGUCACAUGCUUAGGAUGUUGACAAAAUGGCUUUAAGCGACCCGUCUUGAAACACGGACCAAGGAGUCUAACAUGCCUGCAAGUGUUUGGGUGGAAAACCCUUGCGCAUAAUGAAAGUGAAAGUUGGGAACCUCCGCAAGGGGGUGCACUGACACCCGGCCCUGAUGUUUACUGAUGGUGCUGCGGUAGAGCAUGUAUGUUGGGACCCGAAAGAUGGUGAACUAUGCCUGAAUAGGGUGAAGCCAGAGGAAACUCUGGUGGAGGCUCGUAGCGAUUCUGA